GCAUGGUUUGGACCAAAAAAAUUGGAAAAUUGCUUAAGGCAAAGAGGUCUAAAAGGAAAUCCAUAUAAGUUACUCUAUGGAGAUUUGAAUGAAUUGACAAAAAGUAUAGUUGAAGCUAAAUCUAAGCCAAUCAAUUUCUCUGAUGAUAUAGCUCAAAGACUCAUCCCUUUUUUUCCUCAACUCCAUCAACAAAAAUGGUAAAAGUUCUUUCAUCUGGCUAGGCCCCUAUCCAAUCGUGUUGAUCACGAAACCUGAACAUGUAAAGGAGAUUUUCACAAAGAAUUAUGUGUAUCUAAAGCAAACUCAUCCCAAUCCAUUCACCAAGUUAUUGGCUAAAGGUCUUGUUAGCCUUGAGGAGGACAAAUGGGCCAAACACAGAAAGAUCAUCAAUCCUACCUUCCAUGUCGAGAAGCU
RNAcentral lists this unclassified non-coding RNA (414 nucleotides) under Hevea brasiliensis (rubber tree). Lineage: Eukaryota; Viridiplantae; Streptophyta; Magnoliopsida; Malpighiales; Euphorbiaceae. The record is from RNAcentral.